UUAUUCUUAUCUUGUGUGUCCUGCCAACUUGACAUGCAUUGGUUGGUUUCAUUAAGUGGAUUUACCUUAUGGGUGGUAUUUUCCAAAACAGUGGGCUGGUGAUUAUAAGGUAAUUUAGAAUUAUUAUUUAUAUGAUGAUGAUCAGAAUUAGAUGAACAAGAAAUAUUAGCAGGGAUUGGGUGAGAUUUCCUUAUGCCUGUGUCAUGUACCGGUAGAGGAUAUUUUCCUUUGUAUUUUAGUUUUUGAGUAUUAAGAUACUUACAUGCGGUAGCAUCAAAGAUUUUGACAUUAAUACCUGCAUCAUGUGUGUUCCUGAUUGAUUCAGACUUUGUUCUUGGAGGAUUCUUCUUUCUUUUAGAGAACACCACUGUCUGCCAAUUUUCACCAUCUCUUUCUUUUGACAUUUGUGGAGAGCCUUGUUGCAACGUAUUAUUUCUUGAUUUUUCUGGAAUAGAGUAGGGGAACUGUAGGGAUGAAUGGCCUAAUCUUCCACAUAGUUUGCAUAAGAAAUUGUCACCCUCAUAUAAUAUUUGCUGUUUAUGAGAACCGAUGAAAAUAUAUGACUUCACUGGCUGAUCUAAAGAGACUUCCACACAAAGUCUUGCAUAGUGUCCUCUCAAGGUUGAUGAUGUACAUGCAUCAACUUUUAAUAAACGCCCAAUUUUGCUACCAAUUUUCUUUAAUAUAAUGGCAUCAUACCCAUACAAAGGCAAUUUGCCAUUUUGCCUGAGAAGCAACAUAGUUUGGUUAGGCGGAGCUAGGAUUUGAAGUAUGUGGUUCUAAAUUUUAAAAUAACACUGCGUUCAGCGGGAAUCGAACCUCAUCUUUCCCAGCGAACCCACAAUCCUUACCGUUGAACUAAGACCUUCGGGGAUGAUAGAUCCUAUGCAUAUCUUCAACAGAUAAGGUGACCAUGUGAUCUGCAUUUUUUGAUUCAUCUCCGCCAAUACCUUUGUCAUCUAGCUCAUGUAUCUCCAUAGGUGCAAUUAGAUCCUCAAAUCAUUCCAUAGAGAUAAAGUUCGAGUGCGUAUAUGAUAGUAGCUUGUCUUUAAAAGUUGGAGUAGAGACGUGUGUAGCCAUGGGGCUACUGUUGGUGGGUAUAUGAUUGUUAAUAUCCGGCGGUUUUGGAGGGAUUUGAGUUGUUUGCUGCAAAGAUGGUUGAGGAUUUUGCAUUCUUCAAGUAUGAAAUGGAGGAACGGUAGUAGGAUUUUAGAGAUAGCCGGGUUAAAAUUUUUGUUAAUGUUUCAUUCAAAUCAAAUCUCUUUUUGUUAAUUUUUCAUUUUUAAUUUGAAUCUUCUCUGUUUCUCACAGAUUUAUCUAAUGUUGUUUAGAAUUUAUGAUUUGAAUAUUCUCUAUUUCUCACAGAUUUCUCUAAUGUUAUUUAGAAUCAGAAAAUAAAAGAUGACAAUGCCUCUUUCUCGUUUAUGUUAAUGUUUCAUUCAAAUCAAAUCUCUCUUUGUCAAUUUUUCAUUUAUGAUGUAAAUGGUCUCUAUUUUGUCAUAGAUUUCUCUAAUGUUGUUUAGAAUCAGAAAAUGACAGAUGCUAAUGUCUCUUUUUUUUGUCUCAUUUUUGUUAAUUUUUCAUAAUCAAAUCUCUAUUUAUUGAUUUUUCAUUUAUGAUUUGAAUGUUCUCUGUUCCUCGCAGAUUUCUCUAAUAUUGUUUAGAAUCAGAAAAUGACAAGAUGAUAAUGACUCUUUUGUUUUUGCUCAUUUUUUUUGUUUAUAUUUCAUUCAAAUCAAAUCUCUCUUUGUUAAUUUUUCAUUUUGUGAUUUGAAUGUUCUCUAUUUCUCACAAAUUUCUCUAAUGUUGUUUAAAAUCAGAAAAUGGCAAGAUGAUAAUGAUUCUUUUGAUUUUGCUCGUUUUUGCUAAUGUUUCAUUCAAAUCAAAUCUUUCUUUGUUAACUAUUUAUUUAUGAUUUGAAUGUUCUCUAUUUCUAAUAGAUUUCUUUAAUGUUGUUUAGAUAAUCGAAAAAUGGCGGAUGAUAGUCCAUGGAUGAAAAUCGCAAUAAGUUUGUAGAAGAGCUUCGUAUAGUUGAUAUGGAGAUAGAAGAGAUUCGUAUAGAAAGGAUAUUUUGAGGAUAGAUAUGUUUGUACUCAUGACCCAAGGACACUUUACAAAGUUUGAAGAUGAGACAAAAGAAUUCAACUCUUACAUUGAACUUCUAACACAACUCUUAGAAGAUACAAAGAGGGAGUGGUACAACUUCUUAAUGAAGGAUGGGAGAGGAGGUGGUGAAGAACAAGAAUUUUGAAGAGUAAAGCAUUAAUAUAGAAGUUAGGUAAAGAACAAUUACUUACUGUUAGCCUAAAUGAAUUUUUGCUUACUAGUAUUUGCCUCUCCAACAGUAAAGAAGUUAGUGAAGAACAAUUACUCCUAAUUAUUUUUUUAUAUUGGUGACUUACCCAAUGAAGCAUUGGUAUGUUUUAGAUUGGAUAAAUGGAAGGUGCCAACCCUCAUACAUUUCUGUACCUGCUGGUUUUUGACUGUAUUGCAAGUGUACAUGAAGGUUGUAAGUUGUAGGAGAAAGUUCAUAUUUUGUGAAGUGCUAACAAGUUUUUGUCAUGUGAAUGGGCAUGUCCAUUUAUCUCUCUUGAGGAUUGUGUUGAAAUACAUACUCUUAUUCUUAUAUAACUUUCUAUUUUGUUAUAUAGGGGGCUGCCACCAUACUGCAGAAUCAAUUAAAAAAAUCUUUUCUGGAAAAAAAAAUUACUCUUAAUUGCUCAUCUGCUUUUGUUUGUAAGAACAAAUAGGUACUUUUU
Molecule: long non-coding RNA, 2759 nt
Filed under: Nicotiana tabacum (common tobacco)
Lineage: Eukaryota; Viridiplantae; Streptophyta; Magnoliopsida; Solanales; Solanaceae
Description: long non-coding RNA (NTAB_LNC009634)
Source: RNAcentral